UGAACAUGCCACUAAGCAUGAUUCUUGGAGGCAACUUCUUGACCUUAAUGUCUCCACUUCAAAGCUUGGAGCCAAUUGAUGUUACAAGCAACAAUGGCAGAGUGGAGACGUUUCACUGCACCCAGAUGCAGAACGAGAGGCAUGGAGAGAUGUGCUGAUUCCAUUCCGUCAUCUCAGGUUCCGUGUGCGAUGCUUCAGAGAGAGAAUCUCUCUCUUUCUCCACCGCCCACGCUGCACCCCGAGAGGACGCACACGUACAGAUCAUGGCAUCGAGUCGUUGUUCCCGAGAGAUGGUAUGUCACAGGUGAUAUGCUCGUCAAGAAGACAACCUAUUGCAGACCCCGAAGAAGCUUAAACCACAAGUCUCCCUGCGCCGGAAAAGGAGAUUUGAAUGACACAGAAGCAAUGGAAGGAAGCUGUUCGUGCUAUAUUCUAUGUGGAGGUGACUGUGGAUGACUAUAUUCCGCCUGACAAGGAUGCGUUUGAGCCAUAGAACUUGCCAAUGGAUGUGAAGGAUGUGGUUCACUGUGCUCUUUUCUCUUUUGAUAUGUUCUGGUGCUAAAUUCCUUCAUCGUUUCACUGUAGCCUUCCUUGGCUCUCUUUUCUCUCUGAUGCCUUGUGCCAAAUGCUUGCAUCUUUUUCCAUGUGAUGUUGCAACUGUUUCUUAGCUUUCGGCGUCGUGCCAUUCCUCCUCGACCUCACUUUGUCUUCUCCAUCACCAAAACUUGCUUCAUUUGGCCGCCGUGCGGAUGUUAGAUGCAUAAAUGAGCAACGUUUCUGGAUGAGUGUUGUCAGAAUAGAUUUCGCUUCACGGUGACGCCCAACGUCAAGAAUAAGUUUUAGGCUUGUCAUUCGGCGUCUCAUCGAGCCAAUUGGUACUAUGUUUGAUCCGAGAGGAGCUCAGCAAA
Long non-coding RNA from Musa acuminata AAA Group (dessert banana), 908 nucleotides. RefSeq lists it as uncharacterized. The record is from RefSeq and is a predicted model, not a curated record. NCBI's taxonomy places the organism in Eukaryota, Viridiplantae, Streptophyta, Magnoliopsida, Zingiberales, Musaceae. The transcript is spliced from 2 exons.